CUCUCCGGGCCCGCCGGUCCUGCAGUUUCCGAGUUCUGCUGGAGGACGAGACCCGCUCAGAGCCGCCGGCACCCGCGGUCGCCGCGGUUCCCCACGGAGCGGAGCGGCAGCCGGCCCGCCCCGCGCCGCCUCUCCGCGCUGCCGGGGGGAACUUAAUCGCGCCGGGGGUAAUCUUGCAAGAGCAGGCAGCUACCUUCUGGUUCCAAGGUCCUGGUUCUUACUUUGUUUCUCCACGCGGUUUGAGUCUCGCCGCCCCUACCGCCGCGUCCGGCCCCGGGAUAGAAGGGAAAGUGAGCGACACGGGGCUGCGCGCUCCCGAGCAUCGCAGCAGGGACACACAGACACAGACAGACAGACAGGCGCUGUCCCGGAACCGGAGUGUAGUCUCGGGCUCCACUAAAUACGUUUUUCGAAUCGUUGACCCGUCUCUGGACCACACAACACAGUAACAAAGGCUGUUCGUGUCGCGUCGAUCACAUCUUCAGAUCACCGUAUGUUGGAAUAAAGCACCCGAGACUCCAUUUUCUUCAUGCAGAAAGCCAAUUCUUUAUUCACCAAGCUCAUAUUUGUAGGGAAUAUCAGAAGGCACUGUGUUAAACCUAAUUGGUCAGCAGUGCAGUGAAACUCAGUUCAUUGGAUGGGACCAUGGCCAUGGGACAGACUCCAGGACAUUGCUCACUCAGUAAUUCAUUUGCAAACCACGUUUGAAGUUCAGUCCAGAGCCUCUGAUUGGCUGUACAGGGCCAAACUUUGGGGCUCUGCAGACCAGAACAAGAUGUCACAGGCUCCAAGUUCCAGGCUGUGGGUCCUUUAGUGAAAAUUGGCUUCACACAGUAUAUUUUCCCAGUGCAGAAUGUCUUCCAGUUUCUUUGUACAGAAAAUGGCAUCAAUAUAACGCAUUGAAUUUAAUUCAUAAUAGCAAUUAAGACCCCGAGAGGGUGGAUCCACAAGGGAGGAUCCAAGCCACUGUGGAAGCUCUUCCAGGAGCAAAUGUGUGAGAGCCAUCUGUCGCCUCUCCACACACAGUGACAGUCACAGCAUGUCUCUGCAGCCUACUCAGAAAAUUCACACCAUGAUGAAGGGUUGUUGAAUAUAUUCUGCAAGUGUUUCCUGCCGAGGGCUGCUCUGCACUGAAGGGGAUGUGAGGCUCAGCCAUGAUGGUGCCCAGCAGCUCUGAACAGGAGGGGCAGCUUGCUGAAGGAGAAUGUGGCUGUUGGGUUUGCAGAGCUCUGAGUACUCCCUGCAGAGAGCGUCCUGCCUCCACUGGAGCAGGGUUUCAACAAUCUGAUGGUCGAGAGCAAAAAUCAAAUUCCUAUUGAGAAACAUGGUGAACUGCUGUCAGAAAGGGGAAAACCUUGCUCCAGGUGACACUGAUGAAUACCCUGCAGCCCUUUACCUGCAGUCAAAAGACAAUGAACUUUACUUUCCAUUCUUCUGCAUAAAAAUGGAGUGACAUGCGCACAUAUAAGAAGGCAAAAAAUCACUACAGGCCUUAUAAAACCUGUCAGUGCUGCACAGGCUCCUUUCCCCAGGGAGAGUUGGAGGAAACAAGUAUGAGACAGUCACUCAUCAUUUUGCUUAAAAUAAGGCUGGGAGGCCCAGGGAUGCUCCAGCAAACCCCACAGCAAAGCUGCAGAACAAAGAACUGACUGAGCCAGCUCCUGACCCACAAAAUGCAGGAAUCAGAUCAGUUGAGGACAGAAGCUGCAGGGAUUCCAG
Vidua macroura (Pin-tailed whydah) is the source of this 1719-nucleotide long non-coding RNA. RefSeq lists it as uncharacterized. The transcript is spliced from 3 exons. The record is from RefSeq and is a predicted model, not a curated record. Lineage: Eukaryota; Metazoa; Chordata; Aves; Passeriformes; Viduidae.